RNAcentral lists this ribosomal RNA (253 nucleotides) under uncultured bacterium. RNAcentral describes it as "partial 16S ribosomal RNA". It matches the Rfam family "Bacterial small subunit ribosomal RNA", at positions 524 to 776 of the family's 1533-position model. The record is from RNAcentral.
UACGGAGGGAGCUAGCGUUGUUCGGAAUGACUGGGCGUAAAGCGCGCGUAGGCGGAUCAGAAAGUUGGGGGUGAAAUCCCGGGGCUCAACCUCGGAAUGGCCUUCAAAACUCCUGGUCUUGAGUUCGAGAGAGGUGAGUGGAAUUCCGAGUGUAGAGGUGAAAUUCGUAGAUAUUCGGAGGAACACCAGUGGCGAAGGCGGCUCACUGGCUCGACACUGACGCUGAGGUGCGAAAGCGUGGGGAGCAAACAGG